AUCCUCUGCAUCCUCAAUAUACAACCUACAUCAACCUAGGGGUGGAUAUCAGAAGCCAAUGCUGUGCUUAGAAGAGAAAAUGCACUGUUCAACUUACUCAAACAUUCUUAGGCAUCUUAUGGAAUAUUUCAUAAGAAUGUGUCUCCCAGUGGCCACUUUACCUGAGUCUUCUACAUUUUUUAGAAAAAGAAAGAAAAUAAAGAAGGAAGAAAAAAAAGGAAGGAAGGAAGGAAGGAAGGAAGGAAGGAAGGAAGGAAGGAAGGAAGGAAGGAAGGAAACUCGACUCCCAAUGCAGGUAUGACCUGGCACUGACAACUUCCAGAACAAAAGACAUGUUUUGGCUAUGAGUAUUUCUGUCCAUGGCUUUGCUGGCUUUGAACACUGGAAAGUGCCAUGGUGCUGGAAGGUGCUUUGCAUGCUGUGAGCGGAGAAAGGUAACCAUCAACCCAGCUACAAAGUCCGCAAUCUGCAAUGGUGAGCUGCCUGCAAGAUAUGCUGAUACAAUCGUGGUGCAAAUGUUGAUGGGAUGAUCAGCCACUCUCUGAUUGAAAUUAAUGCCCACUCUACAAGAUGGAACUCAUGCCUGACACUACUAUGGUGCCCAAGAACCUGAGACUGGAUAAACUAUGGACCUUGGGGAAAACCAAAUACUAUAUAUUUGCUAAAGGAACAUAGUACUAAAAUGACUCCUAGUGACAUUCUGCUGUAAUCAUAGAUCGGCGCCUUGCUCAGCCAUCACUGAAGAAGCUUCCUCCUGCAGCAGAUGGGAAUUAACACAGAGAUCCACAGCUGGAUAAUGUGCAUAGAGCAAGAGACUUUGGGACUCUCAGUCCUAAAUCGAAUAUCUCCAUCAAACCCUUCCCCUCAGGGUUCAGAGAUCUAUGUAGAAGAGGGGGCAGAAAGACUGCAAGAUCCAGACGUGAUAGGUGACUCCAAGGAAACAGUGUCUUCCAAACACAUGUAUAAAUGCACAGAGACUGUGGCAGAGUGCACAGGACCCACACAGUUUGAAGCCAGAUGGGGACUAGGCAUGGAGAGAGGGAAGCAGAAACUGGCUCUUACCCUUAGACAAGAAAAUGUCAGCAGCUGAUUCCACUGGCAAAGGAAAAGUUAGUUUUCUCCAAUAGAGUCUCCCUGAGUAUAUUAGUCACUCUUCAGAUUAAGCCCCAUGGCCAGGAAAAGCUGGCCAAUAUUAAAGGAACUCAACUGUAAUUUUGUAGAUUUUGGGGGCAUUUUUUGUCUCAUU
Peromyscus maniculatus bairdii (prairie deer mouse) is the source of this 1246-nucleotide non-coding RNA. The record is from RefSeq and is a predicted model, not a curated record. NCBI's taxonomy places the organism in Eukaryota, Metazoa, Chordata, Mammalia, Rodentia, Cricetidae.